This is a transfer RNA of Ovis aries (sheep), 72 nucleotides long. It matches the Rfam family "tRNA". From Rfam's summary of the family: Transfer RNA (tRNA) molecules are approximately 80 nucleotides in length. Their secondary structure includes four short double-helical elements and three loops (D, anti-codon, and T loops). Lineage: Eukaryota; Metazoa; Chordata; Mammalia; Artiodactyla; Bovidae. The record is from Rfam.
UCCCUGGUAGUUCAGUGGUUAGGACUCAGUGUUUUCAUUGCUGAGGCCCGGGUCCAAUCCCCGGUCAGGGAA